CCUACGGGUGGCAGCAGUGGGGAAUAUUGCACAAUGGGGGAAACCCUGAUGCAGCAACGCCGCGUGAAUGAAGAAGUAAUUCGUUACGUAAACCUCUAUCAGCAGGGACGAAAAUGACGGUACCUGAGUAAGAAUCCCCCGCUAACUACGUGCCAGCAGCCGCGGUAAUACGUAGGGGGCAAGCGUUAUCCGGAUUUACUGGGUGUAAAGGGGGCGUAGACGGUGCGCCAAGUCUGGAGUGAAAUCCCGCAGCUGAACUGCGGACCUGCUUUGGAAACUGGCGAACUAGAGGGCGGGAGGGGUAAGCGGAAUUCCUAGUGUAGCGGUGAAAUGCGUAGAUAUAAGGAGGAACACCGGUGGAGAAGGCGGAUUACUGGACCGUAACUGACGUUGAGGCUCGAAAGCGUGGGGAGCAAACAGGAUUAGAUACCCGUGUAGUC
RNAcentral lists this ribosomal RNA (440 nucleotides) under uncultured bacterium. RNAcentral describes it as "partial 16S ribosomal RNA". It matches the Rfam family "Bacterial small subunit ribosomal RNA", at positions 338 to 795 of the family's 1533-position model. The record is from RNAcentral.